UGCAAAAUAACAAUAAAAUGCAGUAACAUGUGGUGCAAAAAGCCAAAAGGAUAAGCCAUCACAAAAUACGCAAUCAACUAAAAACGUCCAGACAAGGAAGCUAUCAAAACCAUCCCUGUGAAAGAUCUUUGUCCACUGCUGACACUC
RNAcentral lists this long non-coding RNA (147 nucleotides) under Pogona vitticeps (central bearded dragon). RNAcentral describes it as "lncRNA (ENSPVIG00000002105.1)". The record is from RNAcentral. Lineage: Eukaryota; Metazoa; Chordata; Lepidosauria; Squamata; Agamidae.